This 242-nucleotide unclassified non-coding RNA is filed under the name soil metagenome. RNAcentral's name for it is "partial internal transcribed spacer 1". The record is from RNAcentral.
AAGAAAUAAACUUGAUGGGUUGUAGCUGGCUCUAACUUGAGUAUGUGCACGCCUGUCAUUUUUAUCUUUCCACCAUGUGCACUUUGCAUAGGGUCUGAAAAUCAAGUAAAUUCUUGAUGUCUUGGGAACUGCUGUGCUUCACAGCCGGCUUUUCCUGUCUUCAGGCUCUAUGAUUUUUUAUAUAUACACCAUGUAUGUUAAAGAACGCAUUUACAGGCUUGCAAAAGCCUAUAAACUUUAUA